GAUGCAGCCAUGCCGCGUGUAUGAAGAAGGCCUUCGGGUUGUAAAGUACUUUCAGCGGGGAGGAAGGGAGUAAAGUUAAUACCUUUGCUCAUUGACGUUACCCGCAGAAGAAGCACCGGCUAACUCCGUGCCAGCAGCCGCGGUAAU
Molecule: ribosomal RNA, 147 nt
Filed under: uncultured bacterium
Lineage: Bacteria
Description: partial 16S ribosomal RNA
Rfam family: Bacterial small subunit ribosomal RNA
Source: RNAcentral